UACGAAGGGGGCUAGCGUUGCUCGGAAUUACUGGGCGUAAAGCGCACGUAGGCGGAUUGUUAAGUCGGGGGUGAAAUCCUGGAGCUCAACUCCAGAACUGCCUUCGAUACUGGCGAUCUUGAGUCCGGGAGAGGUGAGUGGAACUGCGAGUGUAGAGGUGAAAUUCGUAGAUAUUCGCAAGAACACCAGUGGCGAAGGCGGCUCACUGGCCCGGUACUGACGCUGAGGUGCGAAA
This 235-nucleotide ribosomal RNA is filed under the name uncultured bacterium. Its description in RNAcentral is "partial 16S ribosomal RNA". It matches the Rfam family "Bacterial small subunit ribosomal RNA", at positions 524 to 758 of the family's 1533-position model. The record is from RNAcentral.